ACGACCGUGACUGGAAGCAAAGCCUGUGGAUAAACACGCUGUGACCAGUUUAUUCAGACAGAACACUGCUCGGCAACUAAGAACCAAAACACAACACGGCCAUGAACUACAGAUGCACACAACACAGAAGAACGUCAAUGUCCUCAGACUGAGUGAGGAAAGCCACACCCCAGUUUCCACAGUGCCGUCAUCCUGUGGUCCACAGUGCACAGUGCCCAGUGCUGCAGGUUCGGGGUCACGUCAGGGCUGCUGUGCCCCAAGAGGAGCAGAGGGACAGAGUGGGGAGCACUGCUCGUGGCGCCCAUGCACUGGAAGGCCGAGGGCAGUGCUGUCCUCUUUCUUAAACCUCACUGGCCUGAAAGGCUCACAUCACGCAUUUGGCCAUAAGUAAACUUUACCUCAAUUCCGAAUCAACGCUGCAGGCAAAUAUGGGAAGCUGCGUGUGGGGGACACAGGUGCUUUAUUUCCUUUCCUGGAGUCCCGGCAGCAGGAGGGCUGCCUGACAGGAGUGUCCUGGCUCCUCACGUCUCCUGACCCAGAAAAGAACAUCUGCAGCUGCACUGUCCAGGGCGCCACAGCUGCCCACACAUCUGGCAGCUGGAUCUGCUUAUGCAACUUGGAUCUUGGAGUUCACAUUUGAAAUCUGCCUCAUCCAUCCUCCUCCAAGGCCUGCCCCCCAACCCCAGUUGCGUGAACUUACCCACCUGAGGACUCUGCUGAGGGCAGGGUGGAGUGGCUGGCGCCAGUGCAGACCCUGCUCAGCAGGAGGGGCCCUCAGUGCCCUGAAGACAGAGGCCUGGGAUGCCCGGGAUGGAGCACUUAGGCCUCUGCCUCCCACUGUGGGCACAAGAACCUCCCAGGGCCUCAGACUCAGGACCCCAUCUCCACAGGGACCCUGUGGAGGUGGGAGGGUAUGGGUGACAUUAGCCCUCGGUGGCUCCCCCAUCCCAGCAUCACUGGCCAGCUGGGACCAGCAACCUUUGGUGGCGGCUGCUGCACUGACCAGAGCUUGGUGUGCAUCAGCCCCAGACUGACGAAGUUACUCCCUCAGUUCUCCCAAGUACCUCAGCUCCAGGCAGGGAUGAGAUGGCCGAGGGAGCAGGGUCUCCCUGGCUAGUUGGGGUCAGCAGGGGGGCCAGGGGCUGGGGCCACUGCACAGGAAGACUCCUCCCACCCUGGACCCCGGGCACGUGCGACCUGAGAGGCAGGAGCAGCAUGUGCUAACCCCAUAUCUCACAAAGCACUCCAGGGCCGCCUGGUGCUGUCUUGUGGGGCCACCACUUCAGCCCUCAUGACUCUGGACAAGCCAGGUGGGUGGUAAGGCCCCUCCUUGGUCUGAGGCCCCUGGAGGGCAAGUCAGCCCCUGACCUGUCUAGAAGCCCCAGGGGUCCCCAACCCGGACAGCAGCUCGGGCUCCUUCUGCCCCUCCACCCAAGGUCCCAGGUUGCACCAAGGGGACCAUGGCCUAACCAUAGUGACAGUGACAACGACAGGAAAUCCUGCCUGCCGCUUGCCAGACCCCAAGGGGCUCCUGGGCUCUGAACAGCGGAGGUUUCAGAGAGAGAGCCCAGAGGGCCUGGACCCAAACACCAGUGCCUUUGGGGGUCUGGGGUCACUAGGCCUCUGGGAGGUGCUCACCACAGAGCCCCAGGGCCCUGGACCCCCCGGGGCUGCCUGCACCUGCGCCCUCUGAGCAGGGCUGUCCACAUGGCGCCUGCUCCAGGCUCCAACAACUAACAGCCUGAUGAGCAAAGCAGACCCACCUCGGCCUCUGCCUGGGGAGACUGGAGGUCUGCUCUCUCUGGGGGCUUGGGUGGGGUGCUCCAGCUGCUGGACCCCAGGGAAACAAGGAAAAGGGGCAGAAAGGGGACAAAGCUUCAUGCCUGUGGCAGGGCAAUCACCGGGCAUCUGCAAGGCUCAGGCGAGCAUGUGCUGUCUGCAGGCAGGAGAGCAAGUGGUCUGCUCUGGAGAAACUUUGAUGGGGCUUAGCCACGACACUGCCCUGUGGAUGAAGCAAGCACGUGCCAGCCCUGCCAGCCAGCCGCCCCUCCCCUGGCCGCUGCAGGACCAGAACCAGCACCCAAACUCCAGCUCCCUCAGAGGUAGUGUCUCUUUCCAAGGCUAGCUCACAGCAGGUACUUGGAAGAUGGUGGGCAAAUGGCCAGUGGCACGGCCCCGUGGAGCUGGGGGGCGGGGACAAGCAACCCAACCCUGCCGCAUCCUGUAGUUGCCCAGGCCACACCAGCUCCAUCCUUAGAUCAUGCCGGCCAGCCAGGGUGGCAGGAACAGGCCCACGGUUCCCAGCAGGCAGACAACGAUGAACAUCCAGAGGAAGAUGCGGUCGAUGACCAUGGCCACGUACUUCCAGUCCUCCUUCACCUGCGGACACAGACACUGCAUCACUUCAGCUCCUGGCCUAACAGGCAACCAGAGCACCUUCGGAACCUGGUGCUCCAGUGGCAGGUUCUGCUUCCCACCAGUGGAAGCACAGAUUUGGCUGUGGCGUUUCCAUGGGCUGGCACAUGUCCUUCCUCUGGCUGGUCUCCCUCAGCGACAGCCAUCACCACUGCUGAGGGCCAAGAGUUCCUCUUGUUAGGCAGUCAGCACUAAGCCCAGCUGUGGAUGGUACACACAACUCAUCAGACCUGCCUGUCAGGGAGAGCUGCCUGCCUGGGCACCUAGAUGUCCCCAUGGACCUGUGCUGACCUGCACUACUGACUGGAGGUGGGAUGCAGCUGCCUGUGGACCCUGUGACGCUGCAGGCUAGCUCUGCCUCAGGUACAUGAGAGCACACCUCUAAUCCCAGGACCCCUUCAACCAACCCCUGUCAUCAUGGCAUCCUAGGGGCAGCUCUCUGCCCCCAGAGUCAUUUUGUGUGCUCACCCAAGAGGGAGCAGCUUGUAGACUCCAGGCUUCUGCUUCAGUCCUGCCUGUGAAGACACUACAGAUGCCGUGGUGUGAGACCAAAGCGACUCCAUUUUGCUAAAAUCCACCAUUCCCCUAGCCUCUCAAAUUAAUGGUUAAAAUGUGUUUGCUCUGGAACAAAAGAUACAAUCUGUAACAAACCAAAGUUCCUAAGUUAAUUACUCAGCCAUCUGUUUACCCAGGAAAUGAACAUCCUGGGCCCACUAUCUGUAGGAACCCUCUGUCAAUGUGCUGACUGUUAGUGCUGGGUGGUCGUGACCAUUAGUCACCGUGUCUGCUGACCAUGAAUACGUGACAGUUGCCCACUAACCUUUGUCCUUUUCUUUUGUAAAACCUAUACGUAAUCACCCCUUACCCCUGAUGAGUUCACCCAAUCAGAAAUGUGCACUUCAUGCAUGUUAAGCACUGACCAAUCAUUGUAAUUGCUAAGUGGAAAAUCUCCAAACCUUGCUGUAACCUCUAUAAAAACCCUGCUAAUUUGGAACCCGGGGCUCUCAAUCUCGAUCCGCUGUGACAAUUGAGAGUCCCUGCUUAAGCUUGAAUAAACGACCCUCAUGUGCUUACAUCGGAAACGGCCUCCUGGUGGUCUUUGGGACCUUACAAUCUGGGCACAACAGUGGCGGGUCAUGGCCCACGUGCUGGCUGCAGUGCUCUGCGCUUCGCUGUCCUGACUGGCCAGUAUUAAUAGUGACCACUCAUUGGCUGCCAUGUUUCCAGGCCCCAUGCCAAGUGCAGCCUUCUGAGCCAGGAUGGCAUCACCACUGCUUACACUUGACAAAAGCAGGGUCUGAGGCUGACUCUAGGUCUCGGUCCACACCUGCUGAGGGGCCCGUGGGCCAUCCAAGGCUCUCAGCAGCCCAGCUCUGAAAACUUGUAAAUGGCACUUCUAUAGCUUUGUUUUUGAUCAUUAGCUGUUCAUUGAAAUAGAAAUACUGUAGAUUUUACAUAUAGAUCAGAUAACCUGGAACCUUACUAAGCUUAUUUACUAGUUUGAAGCACAUUUUAUGGAAUCUUUGAGAUUUCCUACAUGUGAAUAAGGAUAAUUGUAUUGCUUCCUUUCUCAUCCGUAUGCCUUUUUUCCCUUCUUUUUCUUACCUUAUUAUAUUGGCUGAAUUCUGGCAGUUGAUGUCUUUCAAAGAGUUGACUCAUUUCAUCUAAAUUGUCAAAUUUAUGUGCACAGUUGUUCAUCUUAUCCCCUUUGUCUCUCCUGUGGGAUUAACAGCAGUGAUCCCUUUCAUUCCUUAUAAUGCUAAUUCUCUUUUUCUCUUGGUCAAUCCAGAUAAUUUUAUUCAUCUUUUUCAAACCUUUGGUUUCAUUACUAUUCUUUAUUUUUUCUUUAAAACUGCAUUGAUUUCUACUUUUAGAUUUAUUAUCUCUAUCUUUCCAUUUGAUUUAGUUAUUUUACUGUUCUAGUUUCAUAAGACAAAAGCUUAUAUUAUUUUUUGAGACCUCUGUUUUUGGUGCUGGGGAUUGAAUUUACAAACUUGCGCUUGCGAAGCAGGUGUAACACCACUGAGCUAAAUCCACAGCCCGAGACCUCUCUUUUUUAAAUACAAGCAUUUAAUGCUAAAAUUUCCCCCUGCAUACUGCUUUAACUUCAUAUACUGAGCUGGUUCUUUUGUUUGUUUGUUUUUGGUAACAGCGAUUGAACUCGGGUCCUUGCCCUUGCAAGGCAGGCAGUGGAACCACUGAGCUAAACCUCCAGCCCCAUAUACUGAGUUUUAAUAUGUUG
RNAcentral lists this long non-coding RNA (4657 nucleotides) under Heterocephalus glaber (naked mole-rat). Its description in RNAcentral is "lncRNA (ENSHGLG00000050831.1)". The record is from RNAcentral. Lineage: Eukaryota; Metazoa; Chordata; Mammalia; Rodentia; Bathyergidae.